CAGCUCACUUCGGCAGCACAUAUACUAAAAUUGGAAUGAUAAAAAGAAGAUUAGCAUGGUCCCUGCAGGAGGCUGACAUACAAAUUCAUGAAGAGUUCUGUUUUUUG
Molecule: small nuclear RNA, 107 nt
Organism: Cercocebus atys (sooty mangabey)
Lineage: Eukaryota; Metazoa; Chordata; Mammalia; Primates; Cercopithecidae
Source: Ensembl